GCCGAGGUAGCUCAGUGGUAGAGCGCGGCCCUGAAAAGGCCGGCGUGCGGGGUUCGAUUCCCUGUCUCGGCA
This 72-nucleotide transfer RNA is filed under the name Candidatus Omnitrophota bacterium. RNAcentral describes it as "Candidatus Omnitrophica bacterium tRNA-Phe". It matches the Rfam family "tRNA". Rfam says of the family: Transfer RNA (tRNA) molecules are approximately 80 nucleotides in length. Their secondary structure includes four short double-helical elements and three loops (D, anti-codon, and T loops). The record is from RNAcentral. Lineage: Bacteria; Pseudomonadati; Candidatus Omnitrophota.